AUUGAACGCUGGCGGCAUGCUUUACACAUGCAAGUCGAACGGCAGCGCGGGCUUCGGCCUGGCGGCGAGUGGCGAACGGGUGAGUAAUACAUCGGAACGUGCCCAGUAGUGGGGGAUAGCUCGGCGAAAGCCGGAUUAAUACCGCAUACGACCUGAGGGUGAAAGCGGGGGAUCUUCGGACCUCGCGCUAUUGGAGCGGCCGAUGGCAGAUUAGCUAGUUGGUGGGGUAAAGGCCUACCAAGGCGACGAUCUGUAGCUGGUCUGAGAGGACGACCAGCCAAACUGGGACUGAGACACGGCCCAGACUCCUACGGGAGGCAGCAGUGGGGAAUUUUGGACAAUGGGCGAAAGCCUGAUCCAGCAAUGCCGCGUGUGUGAUGAAGGCCUUCGGGUUGUAAAGCACUUUUGGCGGGAACGAAAAGGACUGUGCCAAUACCACGGUUCGAUGACGGUACCCGCAGAAUAAGCACCGGCUAACUACGUG
This 484-nucleotide ribosomal RNA is filed under the name uncultured bacterium. RNAcentral describes it as "partial 16S ribosomal RNA". It matches the Rfam family "Bacterial small subunit ribosomal RNA", at positions 29 to 507 of the family's 1533-position model. The record is from RNAcentral.